CUGUCCCCAGUGCAGCAGUCCUUUCAUAGAAACUCCUGAUGAAGGUAAAUUUCUCCACUGAGCGGCCCUUUCAUCUCCGAGUCACUUAGCUAUGCGCUUCCUGUUAGCAUUAUGUACAUGUCCAGGAGUCACGUCCAAGCUUUCUGGUGCUUUCUACAGCGGAGUGGGCCGUGCGAGUAGCAGGAGUGUGUGGGAGAAGAACGAGCAGCAGGAGCAGACCAGCUCAUUCUCACUAUACAGCUCUGCAGGAGUAUCCAGUGUUAGUUCCAGUCAGAUGUAAAGCUGUUUCUUUACAAUUUGCAUCAUGGGAGACUCUUCAGCACUUCCUGGUUUCUGGAUAAUGUAAGAGUCUGCAUGGUUUUGUCUUACUUCGUUCAAAAUAAAAAAAAUAUAUUUUUCUGCAGACAUUCUGAUGCAUCAGUCUUUAAAAAAUAAAACUGUUAGCACGGUCAGUGUGGUUAAGUGGUGUUGUUGUGGUGAUAUUGAAAAUAAAUUAUAUUUGCUAUCAUUGAUUAUUUUUCUUAGAACAGUGAGCUGAACUAUUCCAUAUUUAACCUCUGCAUGAAUGCUUGCUCCAUCUACAAUUAAAAAGUUAUGUGCAUAAGUAUGUUUAAAAUAUACGUAUGAAGUAUGUUUUAAAAUGUUAAUUUCCUCAUGAACUGAGGUCUGUGUGUGUAAAUACUGG
Hemibagrus wyckioides is the source of this 685-nucleotide long non-coding RNA. RefSeq lists it as uncharacterized. The transcript is spliced from 3 exons. Lineage: Eukaryota; Metazoa; Chordata; Actinopteri; Siluriformes; Bagridae. The record is from RefSeq and is a predicted model, not a curated record.